GAUACAUACCGAAAGCCGACUCUACUCCGUAGCUUCUCCGGAAAAAUCGGGUUACUAUUCACUUUAAGUGAAAACUAAUAAUCGCGUAACUUCUCCGUUCUAGCUCAUUUUCUCCUGAAACUUGACGAGUGCUUAUGUAAUUAAAUUACACACAUAAACAUCAUCAAUAGAGAGUUUAGUUGCACUGUAAAAUUCUCAGUCCUUACAUGUUAAAACAGGAGAAGAAAAAAAUUUGGACUAUCAUAACUCCAAAAUUUUGAACUAUAAGGCCACUACAGUAAUCUCCAGCUUCAACUUUUUUUGAGAUUAUCUUAACUCAUUUCUUAAAAAAAUAUUAAUUUUUAAGUUAAAAUUAAAAUUUUAAUAAAUUUAUCGAUAAUUUUGACAAAUUUAGUAAAUUUAAUUAAUUUUUAACAAA
Molecule: long non-coding RNA, 418 nt
Filed under: Ananas comosus (pineapple)
Lineage: Eukaryota; Viridiplantae; Streptophyta; Magnoliopsida; Poales; Bromeliaceae
Description: long non-coding RNA (ACOM_LNC017602)
Source: RNAcentral